Long non-coding RNA from Bombus pascuorum, 2596 nucleotides. RefSeq lists it as uncharacterized. The transcript is spliced from 3 exons. The record is from RefSeq and is a predicted model, not a curated record. Lineage: Eukaryota; Metazoa; Arthropoda; Insecta; Hymenoptera; Apidae.
AGUUUUAGAAUUGAAAAAUUCUUUGAAUGCCACACAUGUGCAAGUACUAAAAUAAAAAUCUACAGGUAUAGAAUUGAGUGAAUAGAAAAGAGAUGUAAAAAUUUCAUAUUCUACUCCCUGAAUCUUUUGUAUGGUUAUUUUCGUCGCAUUGUUAUCCAUGAACAAAAAGAUAUUUAACAUAUUAAGAUCUUUAGUACAAAACUGAAACAGCUAUCAUCUAUAUUAUCGUGCCUUUCAUAUUUUCCUCAAACUUAAAAGAUUUGUUAGCAGAAGGAAACCACAACCUGAUAUGGUGCGAACAACGCAAACUCUCGACGAGGAAUGCGACGAAACUGAACACAACUGAAAAUGGUUUUCCAAGCAGUGAGGCGGCCGUCCGUUCCACACCCGCUUGUUGGUUCGCCGUUGGAGCAGCCACGACUUUGCUAAAUAAAAUCAUUUUCGCGGCCGGCGAUACUCUAGGGAAUAAUUACGAGUGGUGGCGGAUUACGCGCGUGCACCAGCCUGGCUGCCUGCUGGUACACGGUAUCGAUGAAAUACCGAUAAUCGAUUGCCCUAUACAAGGCAUAUAUCCGGUAGGUCGAUGGCUGAACACGCGCCUACUGUUCUAUACCCGGCAAUUUGUACCGGUGCUGGCGGCGGUGCACGCGGUUGCAUUAUAAUACCGCCGCGGCCCGCUUAUUAUUUACGAGCGAUGGCUGGCUGGCUCUAAGGGGUGGCAAUAUAUCGACACCCCACGGAGUUUCCUCCUUUGGCUACUGGUUACCAUUCAUAAUGGAGUAUAAUAGUCCCCUUUCCGUCGUUCCGUGGCCGAGCCACAGGGCCUACAAUCCGGGAGUUUAAUCCGCAGUCAAAGUGCAACAACCCCCCAUCGCCGUGUAUUAGCCAGCUUCUGUAUAUAUAUAUAUAUAUAUAUAUAUAUCUAGUUCUAGCUCUAUUUCGCUUUUACUUAUGUUCUGUAUUUAACCGUAGAGGCUGUCGUGGGUGAAAUUUCAUCCUCUCGCGAAUUUCUGUUGUGCUGUAAUAAUACCAUUGUAGUGUUAAUUAUAAUGUAGUAAAAUAAUAACUUUUACGCUUAUUGUCUAAUAUUUAAAAAUGGUAAAAAGUUAAGGAGAUAUUGUUAUAAACCACUGCAAAGCAAUAAUUUGUCUACUUUCAAUCCAGCAUCUUUAAUAUUUAGCAGUGAUAAAAGAUAUAGCGAAUACUGUUGAUCUCUAAAAUAAAAAUAGAAUAUACUGGGGUGGAAUUUUAUAACAUGAUAUUCUUUGAUUAUUAGUUCUAGGGGUUACAUUUGUUUGCAUUUAUAUUUGUAUUGUAAUCCUAUCAAGAGGGAAAAUUUCUUUUAUGAAUUGUUAAAUGUAAAAACUUAUUCUUUCUGAUGCUUUUGCGAGGAAGACAUAAUACACUAAAAUUUAUCAUUCAUUUAGUUUCCAAUAGGGUUUGCAAUUUUAAAUCUUGUCAUGGGAAUCGAAGAAAAACUAGGCUUGCAUGAAGAUUUGGAAAAAGAUUCUUUUGAAAGGGGAAGUUUUGGUGGUAAUCGUCUCGCAGUGACAGGGAAGAUAUAGUGAAGACUGAAUAUAGAAAAUGAUUCAAUACUGGUGGUGAAGGGAUGUAGUUUUUAUUUGAAGUAGAAUAGUAAUUAGAAUAGAAUAGAAUAGUAAUAUAAUACGUAGAAAUAUAUCAGGUCCUUUAAAGGUACAACUCAUAUGAAAAUAUCACACACAUUAAGAACAGUAUUGUUUAAUAGUACCACGUUUUCUCUAAACAAUCGCCAAAACACUACAUUCUUCACGUUCCGUUUCCAGAUUUCAACAAACUACAAAAUCACUACUAUCCACAUACACCAAUACAAGCGCUAGGAUAUCCAACCAUAGAUACCAACACUGUAAAUCGAACCUCAGCGUAACAACACAAUUAAACAAACAACCAAAAAAAAAAAAAAAAAAAAAAAAAAAAAAAAAAGCGAAGGAAAGGGAAGAAAAAAAGAGAUUGAAAGUAAAAAUAGAAUAUAAAAAACAUGCCGUUGAAAAAUCGAGAAACGAAUAAUCGUUUCCAUUUUCCCGCUGCGUUUUUCUAAACGGUGAAGAAAGGUGACGCUCGUGAAAUUUCGUUCGAUAAAAAUUUCAAUACAAAACAUAGAAAGUGUGUGUGCGUAGGAGAGAGAGAUAGAGAGAGAGGCCAAAAAAUCGGGGGUGGAGCAGAGAACGGGAUCGCGCUCAAAAUCGAAAAUCAAUGGAAACAUCGAUAUUUGUCGAAUACUUAAAAAGCACGAUCCCGCGGAAAAGCGGCGAAACACAAGCGGACGGCCCCGCUGGGAUGGCUUUUAAAAUUUUUUCGACUUCCAUCAAUAUUUGCUCUGACUUCACUGCCCCUCUCUUCCUACACCCACUGCUGUGUUCACCUCUCCGGCUGGGAACGCCGAGCUUCACCCUCUACCUGUAUCGACCGUGUACACGUGUGUGCAGCCACGUAUAUUUGCUCGUGGCUGGCUCAAGUGCGCGUUUUGGAAGCCAAUCUUGAAUUGGAUCCUUCGAAUCCUCGUCACGGAUCAGGGAAGAGUGUAUAGUGUUGCCGAACGUCGGGUAAAUAGACGCUG